This 77-nucleotide transfer RNA is filed under the name Rickettsiales bacterium. RNAcentral's name for it is "tRNA-Arg". It matches the Rfam family "tRNA". Rfam says of the family: Transfer RNA (tRNA) molecules are approximately 80 nucleotides in length. The record is from RNAcentral. Lineage: Bacteria; Pseudomonadati; Pseudomonadota; Alphaproteobacteria; Rickettsiales.
GCGCCCGUGGCUUAACUGGAUAGAGCACCGCCCUCCGAAGGCGGGGAUUGCGCGUUCGAAUCGCGCCGGGCGCACCA